AGCAAUGGAAGAAAAGAAGCGUGUGCCUAUGCACUAGGGCAGCUGCUGUCCAGCAGCUCCCAUCCCUCUCUGCACUCCAUACAGUUCAGCCAUGCCAAAGGUACACCUAGAAGGUCUUUCAGCCACCCUAUGGCAGCCCUAUCUCUUUAGCCAACCACCACCUCCGAUAUCCUUUACCAUUUCAGCCAACACACUCCCUUCACUCAUUUCCUUGGACACUAGAAACCAGAAAUGAGAGAGAGAGAAAAAGAGUUGAUUUGCUGCUGCCUGCACUUCUUCAAGAGUAAAUAUCCACUGGAUUAAAUCCAACAACAACAACGAGCAACGCUAAACCCUCACAAGGUUAAGGCGAGAGUAAGAGCCAGUCAAGAAGUCAUUGAGCUAUAGCAAAGUUUGGUAAUCAGGUUGAGCAGUGGCUGAUGAAGAUGAAGUGAAGAGCGGAGCUUUUGUCAUAAGUUAAAUGAACGAACUCUUGGAUGCAUGUCUUCAUACAUGUAAUCAGAUUAUGUUAUUCCGCUGCGUACUCUUAGGUAUUAUGUUCUUUUAGUUAAGUCGGAUUCAUCUGAACUUACAAGUCUGUUUGAGUCUUUGUGACUAAACAUCAGUUAUAUGGUGAAUUUUCCCUUCUUUA
Long non-coding RNA from Salvia miltiorrhiza (redroot sage), 631 nucleotides. RefSeq lists it as uncharacterized. Lineage: Eukaryota; Viridiplantae; Streptophyta; Magnoliopsida; Lamiales; Lamiaceae. The transcript is spliced from 2 exons. The record is from RefSeq and is a predicted model, not a curated record.